This 432-nucleotide unclassified non-coding RNA is filed under the name uncultured fungus. RNAcentral describes it as "partial contains small subunit ribosomal RNA, internal transcribed spacer 1, and 5.8S ribosomal RNA". The stretch from base 1 to 73 matches the Rfam family "Eukaryotic small subunit ribosomal RNA", at positions 1759 to 1831 of the family's 1831-position model. Lineage: Eukaryota; Fungi. The record is from RNAcentral.
ACAAACUUGGUCAUUUAGAGGAAGUAAAAGUCGUAACAAGGUUUCCGUAGGUGAACCUGCGGAAGGAUCAUUACCAAUAUUAGCGAAUCUGACCUUUUGGGGUUAUGGUCUCGCGAAAACUUUGUAUUUAAAACCCCACUCUUAUUAAGAAAUGAAUCAUUUUUAUAUGUAAAUAAAUAAAGAUCACUUUCAACAACGGAUCUCUUGGCUCUCUUAGAGGAAGUAAAAGUCGUAACAAGGUUUCCGUAGGUGAACCUGCGGAAGGAUCAUUACCAAUAUUAGCGAAUCUGACCUUUUGGGGUUAUGGUCUCGCGAAAACUUUGUAUUUAAAACCCCACUCUUAUUAAGAAAUGAAUCAUUUUUAUAUGUAAAUAAAUAAAGAUCACUUUCAACAACGGAUCUCUUGGCUCUCGCAUCGAUGAAGAACGCAGC